RNAcentral lists this ribosomal RNA (478 nucleotides) under uncultured bacterium. RNAcentral describes it as "partial 16S ribosomal RNA". It matches the Rfam family "Bacterial small subunit ribosomal RNA", at positions 28 to 523 of the family's 1533-position model. The record is from RNAcentral.
GACGAACGCUGGCGGCGUGCUUAACACAUGCAAGUCGAACGGUAAGGCCCUUCGGGGUACACGAGUGGCGAACGGGUGAGUAACACGUGGGUGAUCUGCCCCGCACUUCGGGAUAAGCCUGGGAAACUGGGUCUAAUAACGGAUAGGACCACUGCCUGCAUGGGUGGUGGUGGAAAGCUUUUGCGGUGUGGGAUGGGCCCGCGGCCUAUCAGCUUGUUGGUGGGGUGAUGGCCUACCAAGGCGACGACGGGUAGCCGGCCUGAGAGGGUGACCGGCCACACUGGGACUGAGAUACGGCCCAGACUCCUACGGGAGGCAGCAGUGGGGAAGAUUGCACAAUGGGCGCAAGCCUGAUGCAGCGACGCCGCGUGAGGGAUGACGGCCUUCGGGUUGUAAACCUCUUUCAGCACCGACGAAGCGCAAGUGACGGUAGGUGCAGAAGAAGGACCGGCCAACUACGUGCCAGCCGCCGCGGUAA